Molecule: long non-coding RNA, 1966 nt
Filed under: Homo sapiens (human)
Lineage: Eukaryota; Metazoa; Chordata; Mammalia; Primates; Hominidae
Description: HSALNT0403977
Source: RNAcentral
AGCACUCAGGAACAGGAUCAUGUGAAACAAUACCUUGCCCAGGUCACGGCUACGUCAGGUAUCAGCACUUUGCUUAUUUCCGGCCGAAGCCCAGGAGACCAUAUUUCAGGCCUCCUUAUUCUCUGUCAACUGGACAUGGUCCACGGAGAACUCCAAAGACCAGAGGAUGAUGGAGCCUCUAGGAGGGAGGGCCCAGGGCUUCUGAAUCACCUUGUGGAAGGAUGCUGCUGAGUAUCUCAUCAGACUGUGCUAUGACUGGGGGAUGAAUCUUCAUUAGGUGACACUACUGAGAAGUGGGGUUGUUUGCUACAGUGGUAAGACUGUCUGACCAAUACAAGGUGGCUGCAAAAUCUGACUUUCCAAGGGCCCACAUACCUGCCUUAUUUUGUGCCUCAGCCUUCUCAUUUAUAAAAUGGGAUACGACAGUACUUACAUCAUAGGGAUGUGAUGAGGUAAAGUAUUUAAAGUCGGACCUGAUACUUGGUGAAAUGUUAGCCACUACGCCUAUUACUGGUGCUAUGAGACUAUUACUACUACUACUUCUAUAACCUCUACUACAGCACCCUCCCUAUUAUAGCUGUGGGGCUUUCUUUUGAGACUGGAAAGCCCAUGAGAUAAGUGGUUGCUUGUUUUCCAUGAAAGCCAGCCGUGGAUCUCCUGCUUCCCAGAGAGGGGAAAAUAGAUUUCUUGAUCAGAAUCUAUGUGAAGUAUGAGCUAAGCCAACCGAACAAAUCUUAGGUCCUGCCACCCAGGGAUUAUGUGCAAGGAAAUGGCACAUUGUCUAUUGUUAUGGAAGCCGAACACCACCUGAUGAUUCAUAAUGGAUUUAGAGGGGAGAGAUCAUUUUGGGUUAUGAGAAAAUUGUUGAAGAUUUUAUGGAGAAAAUCAAUUAGUUGCUUAGUCUAUCCAGUUCAUUUGACGGGGGUGAAAAGAACAAAUGCUGAACAUGGCCCCAGAAAUUUAAUAGCAACCAUGGAGUAAACUUGACUUUUCAAUAGGGGUUUGCCUUAUGAAGCUUAGACAAUGGGAUUGUAAACAAAGGCAAUAUCGCAUCUGUAGUGACAUCCAGGCCACUCAACCAGGAUAAUUUGAAUUGUUCUAACUGGCUAACAGAUGAAGGUUGAUGUCUGGGUCUUAGGAUGGUGCAGUUGAGAAGUUGAGUGUGGUAAUUAAGAAUGUGGUCUUUGAAGUCAAAUUUCCUGGGUUCAAAUUCAGUGGCUUACCAGUUGCAUGACCUUGGGCAAGUUACUUAUUCUGUCUGGGCUUUGAUUUCUUCAUUUGUAUUAUAAACUGGAAGUAAUCAUAUACUUCUCUUACAAGGUUGUUGUGAGGAUUAAAUGAGUUAACACAUUUCAGUGGCUUAGAAUAGAAUGAUAUUGUGAAAGGAAAUUAAAUCUUGGGACCCCAAACUCAUUAAGCCAAAGGGAAAAGUGGAGCUAGGGACGGGGUCACCCAAACCUGCCUCCCCGUUUUUCAUUCCUAAAUAAGAUGGCUACAAGAUGAAAAGCUACAUGUCUCCCCCAUAUUUUGCCUACAAGUAAAUUCCUGGUGAGCUGCAAGAUCUUUACUCUAAGGUGUUUCUGUUAAAAUUUCACCAUGGCAAUGCAAAUUGAUAGCUUAUCUUUACAGGUGCAGCCAUCCUCCUGCCCAACUGACCCAAAUGCCUAUCUGAUUAUUUCCCUGCCCCAUUUUGUCUAUGUUAUCUUAUGUAAAAUGCAGAUUGCCUGCCUUUUUCCUCUGCCUUAUUUGUCUAUGUCAUCUUACAUAAAAAAAAUGCAGAUUUAUUGAGCCAGACAAAGGCACGAAUGACUAAUUUUUCCUAGCCCCCUCUUACGUGAAAAUUGUGUACUUUGCAAUAUCCUGCCCUUUCCCCUUUAAAUUUGGAGCCCUCAGAAUCAUCUUUGGAGAAAGGCAUAGACCUGUCUCCCAGGCUCGCAUUCUUACCUUUGGCAAAUAAACUUCCUAA